Molecule: ribosomal RNA, 515 nt
Filed under: uncultured bacterium
Lineage: Bacteria
Description: partial 16S ribosomal RNA
Rfam family: Bacterial small subunit ribosomal RNA
Source: RNAcentral
GAUGAACGCUGGCGGCGUGCCUAAUACAUGCAAGUCGAGCGAAUGGAUUAAGAGCUUGCUCUUAUGAAGUUAGCGGCGGACGGGUGAGUAACACGUGGGUAACCUGCCCAUAAGACUGGGAUAACUCCGGGAAACCGGGGCUAAUACCGGAUAACAUUUUGAACCGCAUGGUUCGAAAUUGAAAGGCGGCUUCGGCUGUCACUUAUGGAUGGACCCGCGUCGCAUUAGCUAGUUGGUGAGGUAACGGCUCACCAAGGCAACGAUGCGUAGCCGACCUGAGAGGGUGGUCGGCCACACUGGGAGUGAACCGCGGCCCAGACUCCUACGGGAGGCAGCAGUAGGGAACCUUCCGCAAUGGACGAAAGUCUGACGGAGCAACACCGCGUGAGUGAUGAAGGCUUUCGGGUCGUAAAACUCUGUUGUUAGGGAAGAACAAGUGCUAGUUGAAUAAGCUGGCACCUUGACGGUACCUAACCAGAAAGCCACGGCUAACUACGUGCCAGCCGCCGCGGUAA